UACGUAGGAUGCAAGCGUUGUCCGGAUUUUUUGGGUUUAAAGGGUGCGUAGGCGGCCUAUUAAGUUAGUGGUGAAAACGUUCGGCUUAACCGGAUACCCGCCAUUGAUACUGAUAGACUUGAGUGCGACAGAGGGUGUUGGAAUGUGUGGUGUAGCGGUGAAAUGCUUAGAUAUCACGCAGAACACCAAUUGCGAAGGCAGAUGCCUAUGUCGUAACUGACGCUGAGGCACGAAAGCGUGGGGAGCAUACACG
This 253-nucleotide ribosomal RNA is filed under the name uncultured bacterium. Its description in RNAcentral is "partial 16S ribosomal RNA". It matches the Rfam family "Bacterial small subunit ribosomal RNA", at positions 524 to 776 of the family's 1533-position model. The record is from RNAcentral.